This is a long non-coding RNA of Malania oleifera, 486 nucleotides long. RefSeq lists it as uncharacterized. Lineage: Eukaryota; Viridiplantae; Streptophyta; Magnoliopsida; Santalales; Ximeniaceae. The record is from RefSeq and is a predicted model, not a curated record. The transcript is spliced from 3 exons.
AAGAAAUCUCAAAUAUCUCUCUCUCUCUCUCUCACUCUCUCUUUAAACCUCUCCUUACUCCUUCUCUCUAGAAUUCUUCGUCGAUUGUUGACGGAAUCGGAAAACGAAAGCUACCACGAGGAUCUUGGAAGGAUUCUCUACAACUUCUAUGGAUCGGAAUCUCGUUUCGGAGAUUUUCGGGUUUUGGCGUAAAAUCGAAGUUUUGGAAAUCGGUUCACUGUUUAGAGACCUUGGAGUUUGGGAUUUGCUUACGGGGUUAAGGUCCUUCGAGUAACCGGAACUAGCGUCCUGGUGUAGGGAGCGUAGUGGCCGUUGUACUCCAUUAGCGCUUGGGUAAGUGCUAGGACUGUAGUUUUGUUGGGUUGCCAUUUUGAGUUGUAUUUGGGCACCUAAUUUGUACGUUUUGUUAGAGCCUUGUUCUGCUCUUAUAUAGACUCUGGUAUGGUACUGCAUAUGUUGAUUUAAAAUAACUUUUUUCGCUGCGUA